UACGUAGGGACCAAGCGUUGUUCGGAUUUACUGGGCGUAAAGGGCGCGUAGGCGGCGUGGUAAGUCAGCUGUGAAAUCCCCAGGCUCAACCUGGGAACUGCAUUUGAAACUCCCUUUCUUGAGUACCGGAGAGGAAAGUGGAAUUCCUGGUGUAGAGGUGAAAUUCGUAGAUAUCAGGAGGAACACCAGUGGCGAAGGCGGCUUUCUGGACGGUAACUGACGCUGAGACGCGAAAGCGUGGGGAGCAAACAGG
RNAcentral lists this ribosomal RNA (253 nucleotides) under uncultured bacterium. Its description in RNAcentral is "partial 16S ribosomal RNA". It matches the Rfam family "Bacterial small subunit ribosomal RNA", at positions 524 to 776 of the family's 1533-position model. The record is from RNAcentral.